AGGACUGGAGACAAAUGCAAAGGCCCCAGCACGUGCCUGGCACACAGUAGGCCUCGCCUCCGUGGGCGUCCUUGGCUCACUCGCUGCAUCCCUUGCACCCUAAGGUCUCAAAGGCUACCUGGUCAUACUGAUCGGGGUCUUGGUGGCCUUCGUCUUGCUCCUCUUCCUCCUUGUCUUCCUCCUCAUCCGACACCAGCGCCAGGGGAAAAGCCGGAAGUCAGGGGCUGCAGAUCCAGUGGCCCAUGGCAGAGGCCUGCGGUGGAGGUAACUGCUCCCCAAAGACCCCAGCCUCCCCUCGCCAGCGGCUCCCUCUCUCCCCUGACACUCCUCUCUCCUUCCAGCUGCUGUCCAGCUGCUGGCCCGCCGGAAGAAAGCCUCUGUGAGAGGACAGGAGGGGCCUUGCUGGGGGGAGAUGGGGCCCAGGGAUAUCUACUGGUAAUGGGGGGUGGGGGCCAGAUAGGCUGGGAGGACCCCAGGCCGAAAUGGGUGUUGCGCGCUCCCAGGCAUCACCGUCGACUGGGGAUCACAGCUGCCCAACCUAGAAUGGGGGCGGGCGACCCCAGGGACCCUCGCCAAGCGGUGACCGCCCCUCCCGUCCCCCCCACCAGACGCUGACGUGAGAGACAAGCCUCCUGAGGAGGAUGUGGAGCUGCACAGCCAGGUGAGCUUCCCGCUGCCCAAGAGCGGGCGGCUCGCCUCCGCCCUCCCGCUGCCCGGCUCGCGCCGCUGCCCGCAGCUGACCGCUCCUUCUGGAGAGCCCUGCGCCUCGCUGCUGGGACCCCACUGUCUCCUGGCUGUCUCGCCCUAGAUCCUCUCCUCUCUUUGACAGAAGGUCCAGGUCUCAAGGGAAUACGUGAGCAAGCCGUCCCCUAGGCCCCCUCACUCAUUCAGCAGGAUGUAGGGGGAGCCCGCUCUUUACCAGGCUGCGGAAAAGGCAGGCAGCAGGGCUCUCUCACGUCCAGGGGGCGAGGGGCGAUAUGCAAGCAAAUUCAGCGUCCAGGAGGGUAAAGUGCCAUGAGGGAAAGGGAAGCCAGGUGGUGGGGCAGCGAGGCUCCAACAAGGACGGGCGCCCUAAGCGGUGGCAUCUGAGGAGAGCCCCGCACGGCGCCGUCCAGCUGCGGAAGAGCGGGCACACGCAGGAGAGCGUAAGCCGCGAGCCGGGGCGGCUGAGCCCCAGGAGCAAGGACGGGAGGGUUAGCGAAGAGGCGGGGGCUGCGCGGAGUCCCCGCAGAUUC
Molecule: long non-coding RNA, 1235 nt
Filed under: Dasypus novemcinctus (nine-banded armadillo)
Lineage: Eukaryota; Metazoa; Chordata; Mammalia; Cingulata; Dasypodidae
Description: lncRNA (ENSDNOG00000052983.1)
Source: RNAcentral